UUUUUUUGUUUUUUGUUUUUUUCCAAUAUCUUGCUAUCUCAUUCUGGUCUCUUACUUGCAUUUAUUUGCUCUCUGCAGGAUCAAAAUGCCGGAAACCUUUGUUGUUCACCUCGGAAACAGCAAAGAGCUCAUGGAAGUUGCUGAAGACACUGUAGCAAAAAGGGUUUUGCGUGAGCAUGUUCGGGAGUCUCUUGGAGUACGAAGUGAAGACUUACUAUUUGCCAUCAUAAACAGUAUGUGUUCGGAGCUGAUUUGGUCAUGUCUCUGAUUUAAAUUGUUGAGUCUUGUCCAGUGACCAGUUAUAAUUGGCCAGUGCAGUGACUUCACUAUUGCUUAUUUGUCUAUUCUGCACACUGAAUUAACCUGUUCUACUAUUUUUUUGUCUUUAUUCUGUCAUUUGUAGUAUGCAUCUAAAACUUGUGGUUAUAUCCAUGAGGAAAAGAAAAGAGUCUCUAAUUAAUUUAUCCAUAUCCCUUUUGAGUUGAUUACAAUUGAUGAUUACAGGUGUUUCGCGUGGAAAAGGCCAGGAUCUAUUUCUGCGUUCAUUCUAUGAAAGCGUGAAAUUGGUCCAAGAGAAGAAGCUGCAACUGCCAAAAAUGCAUGCAGUUGUUGUGGGUAGUGACAUGACUGCUCACACCAAGUUUGAGUCUGAGUUGCGUAACUUCGUAAAGAUGAAGAAAAUUGAAGAUCGUGUUCAUUUUGUAAACAAAACACUGACUGUAGCUCCAUAUCUAGCUGCCAUUGAUGUCCUUGUGCAAAAUUCUCAGGUAUGGAAUAUUAUUCAUUUAUUAAUGAAUUAAUUUAUUGGUUUCAAGAACUACAUGUACAAGAAGCACAAAAUGCAUAAAAGGCAUUGAAAUGAUUGUUGUUGGAAUUACAUAGAUCUCAAUUAUAUCAUCCUUCUUCAACUUAUAAUCCGUUUUGUGGCCCUUCCAUAUAGGCACGGGGAGAAUGCUUUGGUAGGAUAACUAUUGAAGCCAUGGCAUUUCAGCUGCCUGUACUGGUAAUGAAUCUACAAGAUUCCUCUUGAUAUGCCUAAUUAUCUUGUAAGUUCUCUUUUGUAUUGUAGCUGCUAAUCUUGUUUUCAAAUGGAAAAAUUUGCCAGGGAACAGCAGCAGGUGGAACCACAGAGAUUGUAGUGAAUGGAACAACAGGUCUCUUGCAUCCUGUCGGGAAAGAAGGGGUUACACCUCUUGCAAAAAACAUUGUUAAACUUGCCACUCAUGUUGAGAGGAGGCUUACAAUGGGGAAGAGAGGCUAUGAAAGGGUCAAAGAAAGGUUUUUAGAACAUCACAUGGCAAAUAGAGUUUCUGGGGUUCUGAAGGCAGUGUUACAGAAGUCAAAGAGCCACUCAGAUGCCUGAUAGUUAGAGGGUCUUUUUUUUUUUUUUUUUUCUUUUUUUUGAAAAAAGGUUUGGAACCCAACCUUGCUGGGAGGCUCAGCCCCACGCCCGGAAUGUUACUGUCAAGUAGAAUGCCGAAUGAUUCAUUCUAUUGGGGUGAAAUAUACAUGUGUACUUCUCUAGGGAUUUCAGUGCUUAUCAGAAAGAAGAUGAAAUACACUAGAUUAUUAGGACAGUUUCAAUUUGCGAUCAAUUUUUAUGUACAUAUAACACAUCGCUGUUAGCUUUUAUUAUGAAGGUCUAUCUAGGCAGACAUCUUAUUGAAAUGUUUGGCUCCCAUUUUGUUGUUGAUUUUUGUAUCGUGAACAAGUUCAACUUAGGCACAGAACACCACCAUAGCAAUCAAUAUAACAUUAAGUAGAAUCACGACAUUUUGGUAAGAGAAAGAUAACAGACAGUAACCGCUAACAUUUAGAGUUUGAUUACGCAGACUGCAGAGCAAGCAUUUCAGCUAGUAAACCAUGGAUUUCAAGAGGACUUGGGGUGUGAAAAACCAUUUACUGGUUUUGGCUGCUGCUUGAUGUUGGGUUUUGUAAACCAAGUUGUAUACAGAAACUGCUUAUUAGGUCCUACAUGGUUGCAUAUUUGUCUGAGCUUCUGCCUCUCCUUCAUCCACCUCAACACUAUCUUCAUGUGCCUCUUGCUCGUCAGUCCUCUUAAACCAACUUCCUAGUAGAAUUUCGAUCAGACUUUUAGUCAAACAGUUCAUAAGCAUUACCCACAUCAGAGAUAAGUAUAGAGAAAGCUCCGGAUAUAAAAAACUAAUAGAGCUCAAAACAGUAACAAGACUUCCAAAGGGGAGUCGAAUUACCUGAACGUGAUCCCAUGUUUCAGAAAUGGUGAGAGGACCGUGCUCCUUCACGAUAUCAAAGAUGGCCCUAGUGAUGGUCUGUGUCUGCUCAGGUGGAGUUUUGAGCUCUAUCGGUUUCAUCUUCGGUUUCGGUUUUCUCCCAAUGAGCCUUAUUGCUGUUCCAAACAUGUUGACGAAGCCUUUUCUUUUCCUGAACUAUUCUCAGUUUGCUGCAAGAGGUGCUCACCACCUGAAGAGGGAACUGAGAAACAAUGAAAUUAUAUGCAAGUAUUGUCAAGGGCCAGACCAGAGUUUUAUUUUCUAGUAGACAAUUUCAACCCAUAUCCAUUAAUUGUAGUAUUGUACCAAGUAAAAGUAUAGGAAUUCACUUUAAUACCAAGCACAUAGCGAUGCCCAACCCACAAAAUUCUCAUACUCCAAUGUUUACACUUUACAAGAAGCAUAAUAACCAGAUAUGAAAAGAAUGUAUACUAAUAGCUUCUACCAAAGAAACAAAUAACACACAUCCUACACAGUACAACUCAAAGCCUUGAACACAUGUUCUUUCCAUUUCUUCUUUCCCCAAAUUACUACCUCUCAACCUAGAGUAUGUCAUAUCUUCAGCUGUCAGAAUUAGGGGAUUUAACACCUUCAAUUAUCAAGAGGCACAUUCUGAACAUAUUGUUCAUCUACUUGUUCGAAGUUCCUAGCAUGGAUGUAGUUUCCUUAUCAGUUUCAAGUAACUUUAUGGCCUCCACCAACUUUUGCUUGACAAUUCUUGUUCCAGAAUCACACAAUGAGCCUAUACUGAAAACAUUGUUCCCUUCUUGCAUCAGCUCACUCAGGCGCAGAGACUGGGCAGAGUUUGCCCUUUCACACGAAGGCUCACAUAAACCACUACUCAUCACAUUCUGAUUUUUCGCCCCUCGAGUCCAUCUCUUCACUAUGUAUUGGGCUGGUAUGCUCGUGAUGUUCUUAAGAUCCAAUACUUUCAGGGCAUGACGACAAAGCACUCCCAUGGAUUCAAACAACUUACAAGAACAACAAAUCGUCGAAGUAGUGGAGUUGUAUUGAAUUAUGUAGACUCUUUGAUGACCUUCUUCAACUGCUUCAUAUACAUAUUGGUAGCCAUCAUUACCAACUUCCAUCAUCCUCACCCCAAAGGUACUUAAAAUCUCAUUUUCAAAGAAUGAAUACAGUUUAAUAGUAUACUCUGCAGCUGCAUGCUUAAAGAUACCCGUGUUCACUCUAAGACGAGGCAUACCAUUUUUACAACGAAAAUCCUCUUCCGCCUGCGCUAAUCUUAAAACUUUUGUUUUUUUCUCAUAAUGCUGUGCCAACCCAAUGAGAUCCAUUGUUGUUGUAGAAAUUUGAUGGAAAGUAGUAUCAAUGUUCUCACCCCUCUGGUCACAUCCGAUAUUGGCUGUGAAAGUGUCUGGGCUAAAAGCUGGAGACCAUUUCUGUCUAAGUAAAUAUAACUUUUUCAGCCACAAAUCAUUCUCAAGGUUGAACUUUUUAACCAUAUCAUCCCACGUAGCUUCAAAUUCUGCUUCGGCGACACACUCAUGAAAACAUUUGUUGAAGCACUCCUUGAACUCAGGAUUAGCAAGGUGACUAGCAAGAUAUUGUGAAGCAUUCUUAGAGAUGUUCCAUGUGCAUAGUCGAUGAUGUGUCCCUGGAAGUAUAACCUCAAUCGCUUUUGCCAUGGCAUUAUCCUCAUCUGUAAAAAUGGUUUUUGGUCGUUUAUCUCCCAUAGAUUCCAGAAAAUUUUCAAACAACCAAGUGAAUGAAUCAGUGCUCUCAUCCAAUAGAAAAGCACAACCAAAUAGGACAUUCUUCCAGUGAUGAUCAACCCCCACGAAUGGAGCACAAACUAGAUUGUAUUUCUUAGUUCGGAAUGUGGUGUCAAAGAGUACAACAUCUCCAAAGCAAUCAUAGUCAAGCCUUGAUCUACUGUCUCUCCAGAAAAAAUUAGUGACACGGUUAUAUUGAUCCACUUUCACACUGUAAAAGAAACUCGAAUCCUCCAGUUGCUGAUGCUUCAAAUAAUCAAGUAAACUUUGUCCAUCCGCUCCUCCGAUCAUGUUUUCCUUCAACCUGUGCAAACAAUCAUGGACACCUUUUUCAGUGAACCCAAACCCUGCAUUAUCAGUACUGCUCAUUUCUUUCUCCAAGUACGAGAGUGUUUUGGUUGGUCUUACACUCGCAUCAACCUUAGAAGAGUUAUAACCAAUGAUAGCUGCACGAACAGUUGAUAUAUGCCGACUUGAUCUUAGAAACUGCCUCUCUUCUGGCUUAGCAAACUCGUGGUUAUGAACCGGAUUGAACUGCACAAUCCUCCAUUUCCCAUCUUCAACAUUGAACCGAACCAUCGCCUUACAACCGGUUCUCGUGUCCAAUCUCCUCACUUUUUUCGCUUCCCCCACCUCCUCAUCUAAUGGAAACCCUUCUUUUGAACAAAAGUAGUCCCGCUGGCGUAGCUUAUUCUGUGCAUCCCUUCUGACCUUCCCUUUCCGGAUACUAAACCCUUUCUUGAAAGCAUAUGUGUUGUAUAACUCGUAAGCUUCAUUUUCAUUCUCUACCACCGUCCCCACUCUUAGCUCAUCACCAUCUCCAAAUGUAUCCUCCUUGUCACCAUUUUCUAACACAUUCCUUUGCCACCCACUAUCCAUUAUCUAAUCAAAGAAGCCUAAUCAUAAACAACAGAUUUUCUAUUACUGUUUUGACAAAACAGGGCAAGCAAAGUUCACAAAUUCAAGUCAAAAAUCACAACUCCAAUACAACAUUCAGAAAAUGAAUUAUUCAUGAAAUUAUCACCAGAAUUGCAUAAAGAACAUAACACCCAGUUUCAUAAAUGACACACCCAUCAAUCCAAAACCCACUCUCAAGCCUAAAAACCCAUGAACCCCAAAACUCAAAUUACAAAAAGCGAGGCAGAAGAGGUACCUGUUCUGCUGACGUCACAAUCGCCGUUCAGAGUUGAGUUAUUUCUGCAAAUUGGGUUAUGGAUUUUGCGGCAGUUUUGUACUAUUUAAUAGACGACCUAAACGCACCGUUUCGUGUUAUGUUCAAAACGCACCGUUUCUUCUCUCUCUUUUGUAAAAUACACACUCAAAAACCUUCCAUAAAGUUUGAACUUUCCAAAUGCAAAACCUCUCCCGCAGAUUCUCAACUCUCCAAGUUCCCAAGCUUUCAACCCCACCGCCGCAACCCAUCAGACCUUUGUUUCAAUACUCGAAGAUUCAGCAUUGCCGGAAAAUCCUUGAGCACAGAAUCAUCACCGUUCUGGAUGUAUGCACCACCCUCACCCAAGCCCAGCAGGUCCACGCUCACGUCAUCGCCAAUGGGCUCAGCCAGUACAGCUACGUCAUCACCAAGCUCAUCCGCACGCUCACCAAGCUCGGCGUCCCAAUGGGGACCUACCCGGAGCUCGUUUUCCGCCGCGUGACGCGCCCCAACCCGUUUCUGUGGGCGGCUAUGAUCAGAGGAUGUGUGAUUGAAGGACAGGUUUCGGAAGCAGUGAGGUUUUAUGGUUUGAUGAGGAGGGAGGGCACGGGUCCGGUUUCGUUCACCUUCUCGUCGUUGUUUAAAGGCUGCGGGAGCGUUGGGGAUGUGAGUUUGGGGCGGCAGGUGCAUGCGCAGACGGUUGUGAUCGGUGGGUUUGCGGCGGAUUUGUACGUGGGGAACACUAUGAUUGAUAUGUACUUGAAAUGUGGGGAGUUGGGUUGUGGGCGGAAGGUGUUUGAUGAAAUGCCUGAGAGAGAUGUGGUGUCGUGGACCGAGCUGAUUGCGGUGUAUGCCAAGAGUGGGGAUAUGGGGUCGGCCAGGGAGUUGUUUGAGGAGUUGAGUUUGAAAGAUAUGGUGGCGUGGACGGCCAUGGUUACGGGGUAUGCGCAGAAUUUGAUGCCGAGAGAGGCGUUGGAUUGCUUUGAGAGAAUGCGGGGCGCUGGUGUGGGGAUUGAUGAGGUUACUUUGCUCGGGGUUGUUUCGGCUUGUGCGCAGUUGGGUGCGUGUAGGUAUGCAAAUUGGGUGAGAGGCAUUGCUGGGGAAUCUGGUUUCGGCCCUGCUGAGAAUGUGCUUGUGGGAUCUGCGUUGAUAGAUAUGUACGCAAAGUGUGGGAGCUUGGAUGAUGCGUACGAUAUUUUCCGAGGAAUGAAGCAGAGGAAUGUGUUUUCGUAUAGCUCAAUGAUUUGGGGAUUUGCAGUGCAUGGAAAUGCCAAUGCGGCAAUCGAGUUGUUUCAUGAGAUGCUGACAACUGAUGUUAUAAGGCCGAACCGUGUUACUUUUAUAGGGGUGCUAACUGCCUGCAGCCAUGCGGGGAUGGUUGAUCAAGGUCGGCAGUUGUUUGCAACCAUGGAGAAGUAUUACAAUGUCACUCCAUCAGCUGAACAUUACACUUGUAUGGUAGACUUGCUUGGUCGAGCUGGUCGCUUGGAAGAAGCUCUCGAGCUAGCUGAGACGAUGCCAAUAGUCGCGCAUGGAGGUGUGUGGGGAGCGCUACUUGGUGCGUGUCGUAUCCAUAAAAACCCCGGCAUUGCUCAAAUUGCUGCAAGUCAUCUAUUUGAGCUUGAACCUAAAAAUAUCGGAAACUACGUGAUGCUCUCCAACAUAUAUGCAUCAGCAGGAAGGUGGGGUGAUGUUUCAAGUGUUAGGAAGCUGAUGAGAGAGAAGGGUCUGAAAAAGAACCCUGCAUAUAGCUGGGUUGAAACAAAGAAUGGAGGUGUCGAAAAGUUUAGUGCAGGUGAUACACGUCACCCCGAUUACGAAGAUAUCAAAAAGGCAUUGGAGGAUCUUCUAAACAGAUUACAGGAUCAUGGUUAUAGGCCAAACCUGAAUUCGGUGGAUUAUGAUGUGGGGGAUGAAGAAAAGAUGCGUAUAUUGAUGGCUCAUAGCGAGAAACUGGCGUUGGCAUACGCAUUGCUCAAUGCAGACACUGGUCCCACCAUUAAGAUCAUCAAGAACAUAAGAAUUUGUGAAGAUUGUCAUGGCUUCAUGUGUGGCGCAUCACAGGUUACAGGAAGGCAUAUUAUUGUGAGAGAUAACAUGAGAUUCCACCACUUCGAAAAUGGGAAAUGUAAUUGCGGCAAUUUUUGGUGAUUGAAGUAUUGUUCAGUCUACUUGACCAAGAUUAUGGUGCAAGAUUUCAUAAGUGGAAAGCUCAUGCAUUUUAGCUGAACUGUGGUUAUGUCUCUCAAAAAUCGUAAAUAUAUAGCUGCCUCAACAUAUCUCAUAUUCCUAACGUGGGACUCAUAUUCCUGAUGUGGGAUUGAUAUCUCAACACGCCCACAUCGGGAAUAUCAUAUCAAAGGUCUCAUAUUCUCGAUGUGAUAUUCCCGAUGUGAAAUUGAUAUCUCAACACGCCCCCGCACGUGUGGUGAAUUUUCAAGCCUAACACGUAGACAACAUUUAGGUGGCGUGGAGUACGUGUGGCCAUUGGGUAACCCUCUCUGAUACCAUGAUAAACCAUGAUAAAGUAGUAUGAGGUUCACAUCUAAAACCAAUUGGCAAUAGAUGGAGAGGCCUAAACCCUUAUAAACCCACAGACAAAGUCUUAUAUUCUCGAUAUGGGAUUGAUAUCUCAACAUCUCAUAGCUAAGGCUGGGAACCAUAUAAUUUUCAAGGCGCCUAGAGCCUUUGAUUGAAGCCUCGAGCAGUUACAUCUCGGUUCGGCACACUUCCCUUUUCUAUGAGGUGAAUAAUUAUGCCAUUAACUGGGUGAAACAAACUUCCCUUUUCUAUGAGGUGAAUAAUUAUGCCAUUAACUGGGUGAAACAAGAUCAGUAGACGGCAGAGUACAAACUCAAAAGGCACAUAUCAACAUAAACAUUCCAAAUCCUUCCCUUACAACCUCGUGGACCUUAUUCACAGCACUGCUGAUUAUACCUAUUAGAAGUACUAUAGGUGCUUUAUCAGCUUAUUCAAAGAGCUAAUCAACAAGCAUCUACAUACGCAUAUAUAACUAUAAGAUAGUUUUUGAUCAUGAUUGAUCGAUUUAGUGGUGGCCGGGAAGCUUCUCUUUGAUCUUGUCCAUCAUUCCCUUCUCCUGGUGUUGGCCACCACCGUAAGGUGUAGUAGUCGCACCGUAGGGAUCGUCGGACCUGUGCUUUCCACCUGGUAGCUUCUCCUUUAUCUUCUCCUUCAAACCCUUCUUCUUCCUCCUUCCGCCAUAUCCAUCAUCUUCAGACUAUUCAUACACACAUCAUAAUCAAAUAAACAUUCAUUUACUUACAAAAUAAAUAAACAUUCAUUUAUAUAUCAAUCAUGUUAUCAUGAACACAAAAAAUGAGCUGAUAAAGCAUCCAAUGGAGUGAAACUCACAGAGCUUGAGCUGUCAGAGCGGUGAAGUGGGACGGAGGUCACGCCGCCGGCCGUUGUUGCAGCGAAGCCAGUCGGCCCAGUGCCAUGAGUUCCGAAGCCAGUACCAGUUGUACCAUGGGUUCCGUAGUCUGUACCAGUUGUACCAUGAGUUCCAUAGCCUGUUCCGGUCGUGUCAUGACUGCCGUACCCGGCGGUUGCUCCAGUUACACCGUGGUGAACCGGGUCCUCAGUCCGGCGGAUAGGGUUUCCGAACUCGUCGGUGGUCUUGUCUCUAUCGUACUCGCUCUGGAAAUGCGCCAUAUUGAUCAGCUUCCCAAAAACGCAAACAGUUGGUGUGCAAAUGAUCGAAAUUGUAUAUGAUGAUGUGUAUAAACAGCUUCUGUUUUUGG
Molecule: long non-coding RNA, 8899 nt
Filed under: Fragaria vesca (wild strawberry)
Lineage: Eukaryota; Viridiplantae; Streptophyta; Magnoliopsida; Rosales; Rosaceae
Description: long non-coding RNA (FVES_LNC000178)
Source: RNAcentral